This 27-nucleotide non-coding RNA is filed under the name Rattus norvegicus (Norway rat). Lineage: Eukaryota; Metazoa; Chordata; Mammalia; Rodentia; Muridae. The record is from RNAcentral.
CAAAUGCCAGCCAGGUUACUAUAUCCA